GAUUUCUGACUUGAUACAUUUUGCCGGCCACGGUUUCGUGUGUUAGUGUAAAAUGUUCUGGUCAUCCUUCCAAUUGCUAUUGGCUAUUCUUCAUUGAUUGGUCAGUAGUAUUGGAUCUUUUACUUUGAAAAAAUUAGAGUGUUUCAAGCAGGCAUGUUUUGCUAUGAAUACAUUAGCAUGGAAUAAUAAUCUAGGACUUUCGGUUCUAUUUUGUUGGUGUUCUGGAGCUGAAGUAAUGAUUGAUAGGGAUAGUUGGGGGUGCUAGUAUUCAAUGGCCAGAGGUGAAAUUCUCGGAUUCCUUGAAGACUAACUUAUGCGAAAGCAUU
Molecule: ribosomal RNA, 326 nt
Filed under: Sandona sp.
Lineage: Eukaryota; Cercozoa; Glissomonadida; Sandonidae
Description: SSU rRNA
Rfam family: Eukaryotic small subunit ribosomal RNA (bases 113-326)
Source: RNAcentral